UGGGGGAUAUUGCACAAUGGGCGAAAGCCUGAUGCAGCAACGCCGCGUGAGGGAAGACGGUUUUCGGAUUGUAAACCUCUGUCUUUGGUGAAGAAAGAAAUGACGGUAGCCGAGGAGGAAGCCACGGCUAACUACGUGCCAGCAGCCGCGGUAAUACGUAGGUGGCAAGCGUUGUCCGGAAUUACUGGGUGUAAAGGGAGCGCAGGCGGGAGAGCAAGUCAGCUGUGAAAACUAUGGGCUUAACCCAUAAACUGCAGUUGAAACUGUUUUUCUUGAGUGGAGUAGAGGUAGGCGGAAUUCCGAGUGUAGCGGUGAAAUGCGUAGAUAUUCGGAGGAACACCAGUGGCGAAGGCGGCCUACUGGGCUCUAACUGACACUGAGACGCGAAAGCUAGGGUAGCAAACG
This 405-nucleotide ribosomal RNA is filed under the name uncultured prokaryote. RNAcentral describes it as "bacterial SSU rRNA". It matches the Rfam family "Bacterial small subunit ribosomal RNA", at positions 355 to 774 of the family's 1533-position model. The record is from RNAcentral.